UACGUAGGGUGCGAGCGUUAAUCGGAAUUACUGGGCGUAAAGCGUGCGCAGGCGGCGCGUUAAGACAGGUGUGAAAGCCCCGAGCUUAACUUGGGAAUUGCGCUUGUGACUGGCGUGCUGGAGUGUGGCAGAGGGAGGUGGAAUUCCACGUGUAGCAGUGAAAUGCGUAGAGACGUGGAGGAACACCGAUGGCGAAGGCAGCCUCCUGGGCCAGCACUGACGCUCAUGCACGAAAGCGUGGGGAGCAAACAGG
Molecule: ribosomal RNA, 253 nt
Filed under: uncultured bacterium
Lineage: Bacteria
Description: partial 16S ribosomal RNA
Rfam family: Bacterial small subunit ribosomal RNA
Source: RNAcentral